This 529-nucleotide ribosomal RNA is filed under the name uncultured bacterium. RNAcentral describes it as "partial 16S ribosomal RNA". It matches the Rfam family "Bacterial small subunit ribosomal RNA", at positions 355 to 894 of the family's 1533-position model. The record is from RNAcentral.
UGGGGAAUAUUGCACAAUGGGCGCAAGCCUGAUGCAGCGACGCCGCGUGAGGGAUGACGGCCUUCGGGUUGUAAACCUCUUUCAGCAGGGACGAAGCGCAAGUGACGGUACCUGCAGAAGAAGCACCGGCCAACUACGUGCCAGCAGCCGCGGUAAUACGUAGGGUGCGAGCGUUGUCCGGAAUUACUGGGCGUAAAGAGCUCGUAGGCGGUUUGUCGCGUCGUCUGUGAAAUUCUGCAGCUUAACUGCAGGCGUGCAGGCGAUACGGGCAGACUUGAGUACUACAGGGGAGACUGGAAUUCCUGGUGUAGCGGUGAAAUGCGCAGAUAUCAGGAGGAACACCGGUGGCGAAGGCGGGUCUCUGGGUAGUAACUGACGCUGAGGAGCGAAAGCGUGGGUAGCGAACAGGAUUAGAUACCCUGGUAGUCCACGCCGUAAACGGUGGGUACUAGGUGUGGGUUCCAUUUCACGGGAUCCGUGCCGUAGCUAACGCAUUAAGUACCCCGCCUGGGGAGUACGGCCGCAAGGC